Molecule: ribosomal RNA, 497 nt
Filed under: uncultured bacterium
Lineage: Bacteria
Description: bacterial SSU rRNA
Rfam family: Bacterial small subunit ribosomal RNA
Source: RNAcentral
AACUAACGCUGGCGGCGUGCCUAACACAUGCAAGUCGUACGAGAAAGUUGGCUUCGGCCGAUGAGUAAAGUGGCGCACGGGUGAGUAAUGCGUGGAUAAUCUGCCCUUUAGUUGGGAAUAACGUACCGAAAGGUGCGCUAAUACCUGAUAAUACUGCAUAACUACUGUUGUGUAGUCAAAGAAGGCCUCUGUUUACAAGCUUUUGCUGAAGGAUGAGUCCGCGUACCAUUAGCUGGUUGGUGGGGUAAUGGCCUACCAAGGCUACGAUGGUUAGCUGGUCUGAGAGGAUGAUCAGCCACACUGGAACUGAGACACGGUCCAGACUCCUACGGGAGGCAGCAGUGAGGAAUAUUGCGCAAUGGGGGCAACCCUGACGCAGCAACGCCGCGUGAGUGAAGAAGGCCUUCGGGUUGUAAAGCUCUGUUGAAGGGGAAGAUAAUGACGGUACCCUUCGAGGAAGCCACGGCUAACUACGUGCCAGCAGCCGCGGUAAAACG